CUGGUCUCUGGGCAUAAUAAAUUAAUAAAUAAAAAAAUCGAUUAAAGCUUCCCCUUAUGAAACCCUUACAUUCGAUCUGAAUCUUCUGGACCCUUCUUCAAUCCCUCUGUUUUCUGCCUCUCUGGAAAGUUAUAAUUGAUAUUGAUCUUCAAGUGCUCAAAACAAUGAUUUCUCAGUAUCUUUCUGCGUUUCAUCAAGAUAAUGUGAAAUCUAGUGGGGAAGAUUUGAAGAGUGCAAUAUUGCCUUUGUUGAAACUUCUCGCCCUCACAGUUAUUGGUCUGGUUCUUGCACACCCGAAAACCCAAAUCAUUCCGAAAGCUACUUUUAAGCUCCUUAGCAAGCUUGUUUUUGCACUUUUUUUGCCAUGCUUAGUAUUUAGUCAACUUGGUGAAGCAAUCACAUUAGGAAACAUUGCUCGGUGGUGGUUUAUUCCGGUUAAUGUGUUAGUUAGUACGGCUGUUGGUUGCUUCCUCGGGUACUUGGUGGUGAUUAUAUGUCGCCCACCUCCCGAGUUCAACAGAUUUACCAUUAUCAUGACUGGAUUUGGGAAUACUGGAAAUCUCCCUCUUGCUGUUGUUGGAUCUGUUUGUCAUUCGGUGGAUAACCCGUUUGGAGAACAUUGUCACUCUCGAGGUGUCGCGUAUGUUUCUUUCGCCCAGUGGGUGGCUGUGCUUCUUGUUUACACCCUUGUUUAUCACAUGAUGGAGCCUCCAUUGGAGUUUUACGAGAUCGUUGAGGAAGGAAUUGAGAUUGAGGAACAGCUUCCAUCUAACGAUAUAAGCAGGCCUCUCCUUAUAGAAGCUGAAUGGCCUGGGAUCGAGGAAAAAGAAACCGAACAUUCAAAGACACCCUUCAUUGCUAGGAUUUUCAAUAGCAUCUCGAACGCUUCACAGUCAACUAUUCCUGAUAUUGGUUUCUCACGAGAGAAUAGUGAACUGAGUCCCAGAUCUAUCCGGUGUUUGGCCGAGCCAAGAGUGGUUAGGAGGAUAAGAAUUGUUGCUGAACAAACUCCUAUAAGGCACAUACUUCAGCCUCCAACAAUUGCUUCUCUUUUAGCCAUCGUUAUAGGGAUGGUACCUCAGUUAAAGGCCCUUUUCUUUGGAGACAACGCUCCACUCGAGUUUAUCACAAGUAGUUUAGAUAUUGUAGCUGGUGCAACCGUGCCAUUCGUGAUGCUUAUCCUUGGAGGUGUGCUUGCAGAGGGUCCUAACGAGUCCAAACUUGGCCUUCGAACUACUAUUGGUAUCAGUGUGACAAGGCUCUUGUUGCUUCCUCUGUUCGGGAUUGGAAUCGUGGCAUUGGCUGAUAAACUGAACUUUCUGAUUGUGGGCGAUCAAAUGUACAGAUUCGUCCUCUUGUUGCAGUACACAACACCGAGCGCUAUUUUAUUGGGAGCAAUUGCCAGUUUGAGAGGAUAUGCAGUUAGUGAGGCUUCAGCUCUUAUCUUCUGGCAGCACUUGUUUGCUCUUCUCUCCUUCUCUUUGUAUAUUGUUGUCUACUUUAAAUUGCUUGCAUUCAUUUGAGUCUGCUUGAUCAAUGUUGCUGCCUCGAAACUUGGAUGAAAUGGUUUUCGGCUAAUAUCAGUGAGAGCCAUAUGCUUCAAAACUGUGGAGGUCCUCAUAUGGUUGGACCUUGACCUAUUGCACGUGAAAAUCAUGUGGAAAUUUGAAUGAGAAAAAGUUAUUCCUUGGCCUUCGUCGACCUCUUUCUUGCUCGGAUUCUUUGGUCUUGAAUCUUUCUAGUCAAACCUUUAAGCACCUAUGUUAUUGUUAUCCCUUUUUUUUUUUUUUUCUGAAACUUAGAGAUGAUGUUGGGUCAAUCUCAGUUCGGUACCUAAUUUUUAAAAUGUCUUUAAUUCUAAACUCUAUCCUGAUUUAUCAGUUUGUUUCAGUUUUUAGACUUAUGUUAGUUGGGUGUUAAAGGUGGACAAAGUAUGAGAGAUGUUUUGUUACAAAAGUGUUAUGUUUGUUAUCGUCACGCCCGUAACUAUGUGUUUUAUUAGGAAAGUGUUUUAUCAGGACUGUUAU
This is an RNA transcript of Morus notabilis, 2027 nucleotides long. It is a transcript of the gene named protein PIN-LIKES 2, with no coding region annotated. The transcript has 3 exons. NCBI's taxonomy places the organism in Eukaryota, Viridiplantae, Streptophyta, Magnoliopsida, Rosales, Moraceae. The record is from RefSeq and is a predicted model, not a curated record.